RNAcentral lists this long non-coding RNA (274 nucleotides) under Trifolium pratense (red clover). RNAcentral describes it as "long non-coding RNA (TPRA_LNC006868)". Lineage: Eukaryota; Viridiplantae; Streptophyta; Magnoliopsida; Fabales; Fabaceae. The record is from RNAcentral.
AUCUAUGAAGCGGUUCCAUUCCCUUUAUUUUUGCAACUGCUACCAUCAUAAAAAGAAAAUUUGUGUAGCCAUUCCUGAUUCCACAAUCCACAACACACUAAGUUUGUUUUUGCGAAGUUUAGCCACAAUAAAAAAGUUUGUUUUCGGAAGUCGGUUGCUGAAAAUUGGGAAAGAUGAACAGCAAGAACAAUUAAACAAUUGUGAGAGUAAGAGAGGGAUUGGGAGAUAGUGACUUGAAUUUGAAAGAGGUGAUUUCAGAUACUACAUAUUACAG